This 274-nucleotide ribosomal RNA is filed under the name uncultured bacterium. RNAcentral describes it as "partial 16S ribosomal RNA". It matches the Rfam family "Bacterial small subunit ribosomal RNA", at positions 523 to 796 of the family's 1533-position model. The record is from RNAcentral.
AUACGAAGGGGGCUAGCGUUGUUCGGAUUUACUGGGCGUAAAGCGCACGUAGGCGGAUUGAUUAGUUAGGGGUGAAAUCCCGAGGCUCAACCUCGGAACAGCCUCUAAAACUGUCAAUCUCGAGACCGGAAGAGGUGAGUGGAACUCCUAGUGUAGAGGUGGAAUUCGUAGAUAUUAGGAAGAACACCAGUGGCGAAGGCGGCUCACUGGUCCGGUACUGACGUUGAGGUGCGAAAGCGUGGGGAGCGAACAGGAUUAGAUACCCUAGUAGUCC